CCAAGUGCGCCGCAUCCACACCACGGAACACCGCUCAGUCUAAAAAAGAACAAAGUCUGACACACGUGGCAACUUGGACGAGACUCCAGGGAAUUAUGCUGAGUGAAAAAAGCCAGCCCAAGGGUCACACACUCGAGGAUCCAGUGUAUACAACACUUUUGAAAUGACAAUCACAGAAAUGGAGACAGGCCCUGAGUUAGGCCCAGAGCACUGGGAGGAAGAGGAGCACUCCUAUGGUCACAUAAACUCAGUCAUCAUAAAUGGAACGGACCUUAACAUGCCCUCAUCACUGGGUCCCCAUCUGCCCGCCACGGGAACUUCCGAGAGCACCCCCAGCCUUUUCCUGCACGGCCUCUGGAGCUCAGGGUCUAAAUCGGUCAAAAUCACGUCUCCUGCAUGUCAGAAAGUCCUAGAAGACAGCAACACAAAGCAGCACAGCCUCUUUGCACAGGAUGCAUAAAGGCUGGUUUA
This is a long non-coding RNA of Zalophus californianus (California sea lion), 471 nucleotides long. RefSeq lists it as uncharacterized. NCBI's taxonomy places the organism in Eukaryota, Metazoa, Chordata, Mammalia, Carnivora, Otariidae. The transcript is spliced from 3 exons. The record is from RefSeq and is a predicted model, not a curated record.